CGGGUGACUGCCAUGGAA
RNAcentral lists this unclassified non-coding RNA (18 nucleotides) under Mus musculus (house mouse). RNAcentral describes it as "oocyte_clustered_small_RNA6708". Lineage: Eukaryota; Metazoa; Chordata; Mammalia; Rodentia; Muridae. The record is from RNAcentral.